Molecule: RNA transcript, 1426 nt
Organism: Cercocebus atys (sooty mangabey)
Lineage: Eukaryota; Metazoa; Chordata; Mammalia; Primates; Cercopithecidae
Gene name: patr class I histocompatibility antigen, B-1 alpha chain-like
Exons: 7
Source: RefSeq, a predicted model, not a curated record
CCUUGGCCAGGACUUAGGCAGUCGGUGUGACAAAGAGGCUUGGUGUAGGAGAAAAGGGAUUAGGACAAAGUCCCAGGUCCCGGGCUUGGCUCUCAGGGUCUCAAGGUACUGUCUGCACUGGGCAGGCGCUGCGCUGGGGAUUCCCCACUGCGCUGAGUUUCACUUCUCCCAACCUGUGUUGGGUCCUUUUUACAGGACACUCGUGACGCGGCCCCAGUUCCCACUCCCAUUGGGUGUCGGAUUCUAGAGAAGCCAAUCAGGGUCUCUGCGGUCCGGCUUCUAAAGUCCCCACUCAGACUCAGAUUCUCCCCGGACGCCUAGGAUGGGGUCAUGGCGCCUCUAGCCCUCCUCCUGCUGCUCUCGGGGGUCCUGGCCCUGACCGAGACCUGGGCCGGCUCCCACUCCAUGAGGUAUUUCACCACCGCCGUGUCUCGGCCCGGCCGCGGGCAGCCCCGCUUCAUCGCCGUGGGUUAUGUGGACGACACGCAGUUCGUGCGGUUCGACAGCGACGCCGCGAGUCCGAGGAUGCAGCCGCGGGCGCCGUGGAUAGAGCAGGAGGGGCCGGAGUAUUGGGACCGGGAGACACACAAAGCCAAGGCCCACGCACAGGUUUUCCGAGUGAACCUGCGCACCGCGCUUCGCUACUACAACCAGAGCGAGGCCGGGUCUCACACCUUCCAGAGGAUGCACGGCUGCGACCUGGGACCCGACGGGCGCCUCCUCCUCGGGUAUCACCAGUUAGCCUGCGAUGGCAAGGAUUACAUCGCCCUGAACGGGGACCUGAGCUCCUGGACCGCCGCGGAUAUGGCGGCUCAGGUCACACAGCGCAAGUGGGAGGCGGCCCGUGAAGCUGAGCAGCGGAGAGCCUACCUGGAGGGCGAGUGCCUGGAGUCGCUCCGCAGAUACCUGGAGAACGGGAAGGAGACGCUGCAGCGCGUGGAUCCCCCAAAGACACACGUCACCCACCACCUCGUCUCUGACCAUGAGGCCACCUUGAGGUGCUGGGCCCUGGGCUUCUACCCUGCGGAGAUCACACUGACCUGGCAGCGAGAUGAGGAGGAGCAAACUCAGGACACUGAGCUUGUGGAGACCAGGCCAGCAGGGGACAGAACCUUCCAGAAAUGGGCAGCUGUGGUGGUACCUUCUGGAGAAGAGCAGAGAUACAUGUGCCAUGUGCAGCACCAGGGGCUGCUGGAGCCCCUCACCCUGAGAUGGGAACGGGUUUCCCAGCCCUCCAUCCCCAUCGUGGGCAUCGUUGCUGGCCUGGCUGUCUUAGGAACUGUGGUCACCGUAGCUGUGGUUGCUGCUGUGAUGUGGUGGACAGAGAGCUCAGGGAGCAGCAGUGCCCAGGGCUCUGAUCAGGACUCUGAUGAGUCUCUCAUGGCCUGUAAAGCCUGAGACAGCUGCCUUGUGUGGGACUGAGAUG